GGCAGUGUGGCAUAGUGGUAAUGAGUAGCACUAGUAACUGAAAGGUUGCCGGUUCGAUUCCCCACUGGGGCACUGCCG
Non-coding RNA from Megalops atlanticus (tarpon), 78 nucleotides. NCBI's taxonomy places the organism in Eukaryota, Metazoa, Chordata, Actinopteri, Elopiformes, Megalopidae. The record is from the annotation of a GenBank genome assembly.